This is a non-coding RNA of Bos taurus (domestic cattle), 73 nucleotides long. The record is from Rfam. Lineage: Eukaryota; Metazoa; Chordata; Mammalia; Artiodactyla; Bovidae.
UUCCUUGUGGUCCAGUGGUUAGGACUCUGUGCUUCCACUGCUGAGAGCACAGGUUCGAUCCUUGUUCAGGGAA